CUCAUUGUUUCGGUCUUUUGGCUAAGAUCAAGUGUAAUAUUUGUUUUACCAGUCCAAUAUCUGGUAUAUGAACAAUAUGUUCACUUUAACAUUAAAUUUAUUUAUUAUGAGUGUUUUUAUGUGGAGGGUUCAUUAAGAUUCUCAACUCUCAAGUGACUCUUAGUCACC
This 168-nucleotide small nuclear RNA is filed under the name Zea mays. RNAcentral describes it as "U2 spliceosomal RNA". It matches the Rfam family "U2 spliceosomal RNA". Rfam says of the family: U2 is a small nuclear RNA (snRNA) component of the spliceosome (involved in pre-mRNA splicing). Complementary binding between U2 snRNA (in an area lying towards the 5' end but 3' to hairpin I) and the branchpoint sequence (BPS) of the intron results the bulging out of an unpaired adenosine, on the BPS, which initiates a nucleophilic attack at the intronic 5' splice site, thus starting the first of two transesterification reactions that mediate splicing. The record is from Rfam by way of RNAcentral. Lineage: Eukaryota; Viridiplantae; Streptophyta; Magnoliopsida; Poales; Poaceae.